Molecule: ribosomal RNA, 253 nt
Filed under: uncultured bacterium
Lineage: Bacteria
Description: partial 16S ribosomal RNA
Rfam family: Bacterial small subunit ribosomal RNA
Source: RNAcentral
UACAGAGGGUGCGAGCGUUAAUCGGAAUUACUGGGCGUAAAGCGUGCGCAGACGGUUGCGUAAGUCAGACGUGAAAGCCCCGGGCUCAACCUGGGAAUUGCAUUUGAGACUGCGUAGCUAGGGUGCGGAAGAGGGAAGCGGAAUUUCCGGUGUAGCGGUGAAAUGCGUAGAUAUCGGAAGGAACACCAGUGGCGAAAGCGGCUUCCUGGUCCAGCACCGACGUUCAGGCACGAAAGCGUGGGGAGCAAACAGG